AGCAGUCGCCGCGGUAAUACGAAGGGGGCUAGCGUUGUUCGGAAUUACUGGGCGUAAAGCGCACGUAGGCGGAUAUUUAAGUCAGGGGUGAAAUCCCAGAGCUCAACUCUGGAACUGCCUUUGAUACUGGGUAUCUUGAGUAUGGAAGAGGUGAGUGGAAUUCCGAGUGUAGAGGUGAAAUUCGUAGAUAUUCGGAGGAACACCAGUGGCGAAGGCGGCUCACUGGUCCAUUACUGACGCUGAGGUGCGAAAGCGUGGGGAGCAAACAGGAUUAGAGACCCGUGUAGUCCCUGUCUCUUAUAC
RNAcentral lists this ribosomal RNA (303 nucleotides) under uncultured bacterium. RNAcentral describes it as "partial 16S ribosomal RNA". It matches the Rfam family "Bacterial small subunit ribosomal RNA", at positions 507 to 807 of the family's 1533-position model. The record is from RNAcentral.